GGCGGGGCUGCCGAGAGAGAAAACAAACAGCCAAGGGGACAAGCCCUGGAGGUGACAGGAGGUGUUCCGGAAGCAAAGCGCUAGACGCAACCUCAGCAAGAGCCAGCCCCUCCUCUGCAUUGUGGGGCAACAGAAUGGGCCCCUGGCCAUGCCCAGGGACACUGGCCAGCUGGGCUCUCCCCUCCGUGCUCCUCGCUCUGCUCCGGGGGACCCGCCCCGACUUAGACACAAGCCUGGCUCCUUCCUUUCCUGGACAGCAGGACUUCAAGGCACCCUUGCAUAAACCACUGGGCG
Molecule: long non-coding RNA, 294 nt
Organism: Tupaia belangeri chinensis (Chinese tree shrew)
Lineage: Eukaryota; Metazoa; Chordata; Mammalia; Scandentia; Tupaiidae
Exons: 3
Source: RefSeq, a predicted model, not a curated record